RNAcentral lists this microRNA precursor (193 nucleotides) under Brachypodium distachyon (stiff brome). RNAcentral describes it as "miR164a stem-loop (bdi-MIR164a)". Its record names the gene bdi-MIR164a. The record is from miRBase by way of RNAcentral. Lineage: Eukaryota; Viridiplantae; Streptophyta; Magnoliopsida; Poales; Poaceae.
GAGUGGACAUAUGAGGCGAGGCGCGCGAGGUGGAGAAGCAGGGCACGUGCAUUCGUUCCAGCUCGCCGCCGGUGUGCCGCGCCGCGGCCUGGGCGCGCGUGUCGCCCGAGCGGCCGGCCAUGCGCGUGUGUGUGCAUGCAUGUGCCCUUCUUCUCCACCGCGCAAGCCUCGCCUGCGAACGCGCGCGCACGCC